This 64-nucleotide transfer RNA is filed under the name Cavia porcellus (domestic guinea pig). It matches the Rfam family "tRNA". Rfam says of the family: Transfer RNA (tRNA) molecules are approximately 80 nucleotides in length. Their secondary structure includes four short double-helical elements and three loops (D, anti-codon, and T loops). The record is from Rfam by way of RNAcentral. Lineage: Eukaryota; Metazoa; Chordata; Mammalia; Rodentia; Caviidae.
GGGGAUUUAGCUCAGUGGCAUGAGCGCCUGCCUGGCAAGCACAAAUUUGUGAGUUGAAUCCCCG